GCGCGUGCCCACUGGAUGGGCGGAGAGUGUUGCGUGAUGCGUUUCCUGCUGCUUUUAAACCCGAGCAGAGUGAGUCUCAGCCUUUCUCGAAGAAUAGCUUGAAGAAACAGACGCAAUCCCUGCAGCAGAGACAAACUUAUGAGAUCACUGACCAAAUUACAGUACAAUACAAUGAUAUAUCAAGACAGCAUACAAGAUGUGCCACAGGAGUGUGGACGUGGGCCGGUUGCUCUCUGCGGGGUCUGUACAUCUGUGGAGAGCAUAGGAAAGAUGCCCAUUAAAUGAGAGUGCGUUUAACAUUCAGAAGGCGGCUGUUACCUGUCCAUCAGCAUUAAAUCCUGGAUGAAUACAAGCUGUGGCACACAAAGCAGAAAAUAAUAAUGUAUCGUAAAGGAUUGUAAGGCUGUAAACCAUAAAUCCAGAUGGCAUGGGCUGAUCCAGCUAUCUGAUGAUAACAGUGGAGGGCCGAAAUGCUGGAGAAAAAAAAAAAAAAAUAGUAUGAAGGUGGUGAUGGAAUAAGAUUCACACCUACAGCACCUACCACACAUGACUUUCACACUUGAGAGCGAGCUGGGAGAGAAAGCCCAGAUGAACACAAAUGUACAUGUGUGGUUUUUGGUGUGUAAUCGUGCAUUAAUGUUGUCAUCUAAUGCUCUCUACUAUGAUUUAUUUUUCUAUUACAUAAUAAAUAUCCACCAGAGCACCCGAACCAUGAAUGCUGCAGUUUUGUAGGUUUUUCUUUUAUUCCCCAAUUAAUAAUGUUUAAUGCCUGCAGUUUAAUUGCAUCUGGGUAAUGUUUAUAUGCAUUUAUGAAGCCAUUUUAUGAACACUG
Danio rerio (zebrafish) is the source of this 832-nucleotide non-coding RNA. The record is from RefSeq and is a predicted model, not a curated record. Lineage: Eukaryota; Metazoa; Chordata; Actinopteri; Cypriniformes; Danionidae.